Molecule: non-coding RNA, 2705 nt
Organism: Sus scrofa (pig)
Lineage: Eukaryota; Metazoa; Chordata; Mammalia; Artiodactyla; Suidae
Source: RefSeq, a predicted model, not a curated record
GGAGGCAGGGGUGGGGGAGUGGGCCCAGGAAUCUGCAUACUAAACGGACCUCUCCCAUCAAGGUGAUGCUGACUCAGCGUGUCCCUGACCACGUGGUUGGGACCUCCAAGCUCUCCCUGACUUAGCUAAAACUCCCCGUGGGGAGGGACUUGCCCCAAGUAAAAAGACAGGUGAGUAGAAAAGCUCCUUGUCCGGGGCUCCCACUCUGACUUCAUCCUAUCUUUUUUUUUUUUUUUCCUCCCAUUUUUGGCCGCCUCAUGGCAUAUGGAAUUCCCAGGCCAGGGAUCAGAUCCGAGAUGCAGUUUUGAUCUACGCUGCCGCUGCAGCAAUGUCAGAUCCUUUAACUCGCUGUGCCGGGAGUGGGAUCGAACCCGCGUCUUGGCACUGCAGAGAUGCUGAAGAUCCACUGUUGCGCCACCAUGAGAAUGCUGCUUCCUCCUAUCUUAUUUAAGGAACUUUGUGUGGUCAGAGAUCCAGGUAUGUUCAUUUACUAGGGCUGCUGUAGCGCAAUACCAUAAAUUGGGUGGCUUCAAAUAGCAGGCAUAUUUAUCCUCUCAGUUUUGGAGGCUGGAGGCCUGAAAUCAAGGUGUCAGCAGGGCCUGCUCCCUCUGAAGCCCCUGGGCACAGGGAGGAAUGUUUUCACCUCUUCCAGCUGCCGUGAUGGCUGGCAGUGCUCUGAGUUCCUUGGCUGGGGCUGCGUUGCUCCAGUCUCUGCCUCUGUCGCCUCAGAGCCUCUUCCUGGCAUGGCUCUAUCCACUCUCCCCCUUCUUCUAAGGACGCUCGUCACUGGAUUUAGGGCCAUCCUAUGCCAGUCAGACCUCAUCUUAACGAAUCGUAUCUGCAAAGACCUUUAUUUCCAGUAAGGUCACAUGCUGAGGUUCUGGGGAGAUGUGAAUUUGAGGCGGGUCCAGUUCAACCCACAGCACCAGGUGAUACACUCACCCCCACUCUCCCUACAGCAUGACUCUUCCCAGCCAUCAGGGAAAAAGCCACCUCCCCAGAGAAGCCCUCCCUGAUCACUCCACCUACACUGAGGGUCUCUUGCCCAGUUCUUCUUCUUUUUUUAAAUUAAUGUAUACUUGAUUUACAGUGUGGUGUCCAUUUCUGCUGUACAGCAUACUGACCCAGUGACACACACACACACACACACACACACACACACACACACACACACAUCCUUUCUCUCAUACUCUUCUUUGUCACAGCCUCCCCCCUGCUUCCUUCACAGCCAUGUUCUCCUUUACCUGUCUGCACCCCCAGACCUGAAACUCCUUGAGAGCUGGAACUCUCUCAGUUCUGUUUUUCAGGUGUCAAAGCAGCCCUUUUCAUGAGGACGACGGAUGCUUCUAGAAGGAAGGAGUGAGUACCCACCAAGGCUCUGGGCUCAGCCCCGCCUCCACCUGCUGUGUGACCUUGGGACAUCUCUGAGCAGCUUGGCGCCUCAGUAGCCUCACUUGUAAGAGUGGGGCUCUCUCCAAGGGCCCAUCACUUGGAGAGGGUUAGCCACCCUGUUUCCAUCUUCAUGACAGGAAUUUCAAGACAGCAAUGGUAGAUCGUGAAACCAACACAAGACCCGGCUGACUUCCCAGGUCACAAACCCACCUGGCCAGCUCUGGCUGUUGGGCUUUGAACUUCUUUUCUUGUAUGUUAAAAAAAAAAACCUCAAGUGAUCACCUCAUGCCUGUCAGAAUGGCUGUUAUCAAAAAGGUUCAAAAGAGGAAAGCUACUGACGUGCCCACCAAAGGAUGAAUGGAUAAAGAUGUCCAAUAUAUAUAAAAUAUGGCUUGAUACUCAGCGAUCAAAAAAGACGGAAUCAUGCCUUUGGCAACAACAUGGAUGGACCUUGAGAGGCUUAUGCUACGUGAAGAAGAGCUGAUUUCCUACUUCCUAUGGACCAAAGCAUGGGCAAGGUAAUGAUCCAGCCAUGACCUUGGAGGUGAAGGUGACAUACGAGGAGAAUGCUGUGGCAGGAAAAUGGAAGGAACCCCAGUCCCUGCAUGGCUGUGGAACAGGGCUGCCCUGUCAUCUUAGACCACUCACUCAUCUUCGAUUUUUAGGGAAAUCUGGACACAGAGGGAUGUGCCCCGGGAAGACGCUGUAAAAUGGCACAGGGAAGAGACACUCAUCUACCGCCAAGGAGAGAAGCACAGCCCUCGAAAGGAAGCAAACCUGCCAACACCUUCAUCGUGGACUUCCAGCCUCCAGACUGUGAGUCCGUGAAUUUCUGUUGCCUAAACUUCCCAGUCUAUGGCACUUUGUGAGGAAAGCCCGAGAACUCACGUAGCAGGAAGAAGAACUUUUGAAGAUUCCCUUGCAGCCAGGUUUGGCCACAUGAUGCAACACUAGCCAAUGAAAUGCCAGCACCGCGAGAGAAAAGGAUGCUGGGAGAGUUUCCCGGAAAGACUUGAUUUCCUUGCAGAGGCUGCUGGUGCACCCAUUUCCCCCUCUCCUGCCUUGGCUGCGGACGGGCUAUUAUGGGUCAUUUUAUGGCCAUGAGAGAAAGUGCUAGAGCUUGGGAAGAUGCCAGCCCUGCCGCUCUUGCCCCACCUGUAACUGCCUCCUUUUAGCCUCCUCCUUCCUUAAUCCACACUGGUCAGGGCUUCUGGGAUUUACAGAGGAACAAAUUCCUGAUGCAUCUGCUCCUUAAGUGCCUCUGACCACCUUCACCGGGCUGUUGCAUAAAACGGUGUUGCAAACGGUGUUAA